GAGUUUGAUCUUGGCUCAGGAUGAACGCCGGCGGUGUGCCUAAUACAUGCAAGUCGUACGCACUGGCCCAACUGAUUGAUGGUGCUUGCACCUGAUUGACGAUGGAUCACCAGUGAGUGGCGGACGGGUGAGUAACACGUAGGUAACCUGCCCCGGAGCGGGGAUAACAUUUGGAAACAGAUGCUAAUACCGCAUAACAACAAAGGCCACAUGGCUUUUGUUUGAAAGAUGGCUUUGGCCAUCACUCUGGGAUGGACCUGCGGUGCAUUAGCUAGUUGGUAAGGUAACGGCUUACCAAGGCGAUGAUGUAUAGCCGAGUUGAGAGACUGAUCGGCCACAAUGGAACUGAGACACGGUCCAUACUCCUACGGGAGGCAGCAGUAGGGAAUCUUCCACAAUGGGCGCAAGCCUGAUGGAGCAACACCGCGUGAGUGAAGAAGGGUUUCGGCUCGUAAAGCUCUGUUGUUGGAGAAGAACGUGCGUGAGAGUAACUGUU
RNAcentral lists this ribosomal RNA (496 nucleotides) under uncultured microorganism. RNAcentral describes it as "bacterial SSU rRNA". It matches the Rfam family "Bacterial small subunit ribosomal RNA", at positions 9 to 468 of the family's 1533-position model. The record is from RNAcentral.